CUAUUUCAAAUUUCAAGUUUUAAUACCAUCCAGAAUUCCAAAGGACUAAUGAUGAAAUAGGCUACCCAAGUCUUUACAGAGAGGUGAUGGGCUUGAGAUGUAGAAUGAAAUCUGCAUUUUUGGACACAGUCAACAUGGAAAUUUGUUUUGCUAGACUACUGUUAGGAGAGGAUUUGGAAACUUCUUUGCUCAUUCUGGUAAUUGGCCCAUAUAUGCCCACUCUGCUUUCUUGGAACCUCAUCAAGUUGUUCCUGCAGUUCUGGAAGCCUGGUGCUCUGGAAGCUAGGGGGCGAAGUGGAUGGAGCAUGAGGUUUGGAGUCAGGACGACCCGAGUUCUAAUCUGGAUCCAGAUGUCGGGGUGGUCUUGGGCAAGUCACUUAACCCUGUUUGCUUCAUUUUUCUCAUAUGUAAAAUGAGCUGGGGAAGGAAAUGGCAAAUCUUUCUAUAGUAUCUUUGCCAGGAAAGUCCCAAAUGAGGUCACAGACUCAGACAUGACAGAAACUACUGAACAACAAUAAAAGCAAUGUUUAAUAAUUUGGAACA
This 543-nucleotide long non-coding RNA is filed under the name Monodelphis domestica (gray short-tailed opossum). RNAcentral describes it as "lncRNA (ENSMODG00000035100.2)". The record is from RNAcentral. Lineage: Eukaryota; Metazoa; Chordata; Mammalia; Didelphimorphia; Didelphidae.